UACGGGGGGAGCAAGCGUUGUUCGGAUUUACUGGGCGUAAAGGGCGCGUAGGCGGCACCGCAAGUCGACUGUGAAAUCUCCGGGCUUAACUCGGAAAGGUCAGCCGAUACUGCGGGGCUAGAGUGCAGAAGGGGCAACUGGAAUUCUCGGUGUAGCGGUGAAAUGCGUAGAUAUCGAGAGGAACACCUGCGGCGAAGGCGGGUUGCUGGGCUGCACCUGACGCUGAGCCGCGAAAGCCAGGGGAGCGAACGGG
This 253-nucleotide ribosomal RNA is filed under the name uncultured bacterium. RNAcentral's name for it is "partial 16S ribosomal RNA". It matches the Rfam family "Bacterial small subunit ribosomal RNA", at positions 524 to 776 of the family's 1533-position model. The record is from RNAcentral.